This 253-nucleotide ribosomal RNA is filed under the name uncultured bacterium. Its description in RNAcentral is "partial 16S ribosomal RNA". It matches the Rfam family "Bacterial small subunit ribosomal RNA", at positions 524 to 776 of the family's 1533-position model. The record is from RNAcentral.
UACGGGGGGGGGAAGCGUUGUUCGGAAUUACUGGGCGUAAAGGGCUCGUAGGCGGCCAACUAAGUCAUACGUGAAAUCCCUCAGCUUAACUGGGGAACUGCGUGUGAUACUGGAUGGCUUGGAUUUGGGAGAGGGAUGCGGAAUUCCAGGUGUAGCGGUGAAAUGCGUAGAUAUUGGGAGGAACCCCAGUGGCGAAGGCGGCUCGCUGGACCGGUUCUGACGCUGAGGCGCGAAAGCGUGGGGAGCAAACGGG